GAUGAACGCUGGCGGCGUGCCUAAUACAUGCAAGUCGAGCGAACAGACGAGGAGCUUGCUCCUCUGACGUUAGCGGCGGACGGGUGAGUAACACGUGGAUAACCUACCUAUAAGACUGGGAUAACUUCGGGAAACCGGAGCUAAUACCGGAUAAUAUAUUGAACCGCAUGGUUCAAUAGUGAAAGACGGUUUUGCUUUCACUUAUAGAUGGAUCCGCGCCGAAUUAGCUAGUUGGUAAGGUAACGGCUUACCAAGGCAACGAUGCGUAGCCGACCUGAGAGGGUGAUCGGCCACACUGGAACUGAGACACGGUCCAGACUCCUACGGGAGGCAGCAGUAGGGAAUCUUCCGCAAUGGGCGAAAGCCUGACGGAGCAACGCCGCGUGAGUGAUGAAGGUCUUCGGAUCGUAAAACUCUGUUAUUAGGGAAGAACAAAUGUGUAAGUAACUAUGCACGUCUUGACGGUACCUAAUCAGAAAGCCACGGCUAACUACGUG
RNAcentral lists this ribosomal RNA (497 nucleotides) under uncultured bacterium. RNAcentral's name for it is "partial 16S ribosomal RNA". It matches the Rfam family "Bacterial small subunit ribosomal RNA", at positions 28 to 507 of the family's 1533-position model. The record is from RNAcentral.